This 668-nucleotide ribosomal RNA is filed under the name uncultured bacterium. RNAcentral describes it as "bacterial SSU rRNA". It matches the Rfam family "Bacterial small subunit ribosomal RNA", at positions 10 to 671 of the family's 1533-position model. The record is from RNAcentral.
AGUUUGAUCCUGGCUCAGAUUGAACGCUGGCGGCAUGCCUUACACAUGCAAGUCGAACGGCAGCACGGGAGCAAUCCUGGUGGCGAGUGGCGAACGGGUGAGUAAUAUAUCGGAACGUGCCCAGUCGUGGGGGAUAACGCAGCGAAAGCUGUGCUAAUACCGCAUACGAUCUCUGGAUGAAAGCGGGGGACUCGUAAGAGCCUCGCGCGAUUGGAGCGGCCGAUAUCAGAUUAGCUAGUUGGUGGGGUAAAGGCCCACCAAGGCGACGAUCUGUAGCUGGUCUGAGAGGACGACCAGCCACACUGGAACUGAGACACGGUCCAGACUCCUACGGGAGGCAGCAGUGGGGAAUUUUGGACAAUGGGCGCAAGCCUGAUCCAGCAAUGCCGCGUGCAGGAUGAAGGCCUUCGGGUUGUAAACUGCUUUUGUACGGAACGAAAAGGUCUGCCUUAAUACGGUGGGCCCAUGACGGUACCGUAAGAAUAAGCACCGGCUAACUACGUGCCAGCAGCCGCGGUAAUACGUAGGGUGCGAGCGUUAAUCGGAAUUACUGGGCGUAAAGCGUGCGCAGGCGGUUAUAUAAGACAGAUGUGAAAUCCCCGGGCUCAACCUGGGACCUGCAUUUGUGACUGUAUAGCUAGAGUACGGUAGAGGGGGAUGGAAUUCCG